CUUACGGAUUCCAAGCUCCCUGAUGCCCAGGCAGGCUGGGAGAAGGCAAUGACAACACUGCUCGCGGCAAUGGGUGGUUCCAAUUAUAUCCACCAUGCAG
Non-coding RNA from Desulfobacteraceae bacterium 4484_190.2, 100 nucleotides. The record is from Rfam. Lineage: Bacteria; Pseudomonadati; Thermodesulfobacteriota; Desulfobacteria; Desulfobacterales; Desulfobacteraceae.